Molecule: ribosomal RNA, 274 nt
Filed under: uncultured bacterium
Lineage: Bacteria
Description: partial 16S ribosomal RNA
Rfam family: Bacterial small subunit ribosomal RNA
Source: RNAcentral
AUACGGAGGGUGCAAGCGUUGUCCGGAUUUAUUGGGUUUAAAGGGUCCGUAGGCGGGAAUCUAAGUCAGUGGUGAAAUCUUGCAGCUCAACUGUAAAAUUGCCAUUGAUACUGGGUUUCUUGAAUUAGUGUGAAGUGGUUAGAAUGUGUAGUGUAGCGGUGAAAUGCAUAGAUAUUACACAGAAUACCAAUUGCGAAGGCAGAUCACUAACACUAUAUUGACGCUGAGGGACGAAAGCGUGGGGAGCGAACAGGAUUAGAAACCCGAGUAGUCC